This 567-nucleotide ribosomal RNA is filed under the name Triticum aestivum (bread wheat). RNAcentral's name for it is "partial small subunit ribosomal RNA". Lineage: Eukaryota; Viridiplantae; Streptophyta; Magnoliopsida; Poales; Poaceae. The record is from RNAcentral.
AUGACGAAUAGGUUCGCUUUCGAGGAGAAGGAGAUGGCACGCAUGCUUCUGCUUGUGUCGCGGGAGCAGCCGAUGCCCAUGCCGAUGCCGGUGGCAGUGCACGGUGACCGCGCCCUGGAGCGGGUGUUCGUGUGCAAGACGUGCGACCGCGUGUUCCCGUCGUUCCAGGCGCUGGGCGGGCACCGGGCCAGCCACAAGAAGCCACGGCUGGACGACGGCGGCGACCUCAAGCCCAAGCUGCACGGAUGCUCCGUCUGCGGCCUCGAGUUCGCCAUCGGCCAGGCGCUCGGCGGCCACAUGCGGCGCCACCGCGCCAUGGCCGCGGGCGGAGGCGGUGGCCUCAUGGCCAUGACGCCACCGGCAGCAGCGAUAGAGAAGCAUGGUGGCGGCAACGGCGCUGUUGUCGGCAUGAAACGCGGGCUGUGGCUCGACCUGAACCACCCACCUUGCGACGAGUACGGCGCCAGCUGCGAGGGCGACGACGAGUGCGGCCACGAUGCAGCUGCCGCCGGGUACACGUUCCACCAGUUCCUGGAUAUCGGCACCAUGGCGGUGGACUGCGUCUAG